GCGCCUGUGGCCGGCCUAAUGGAUGAGGCGUCUGACUUCUAAUCAGGCGACUGUGGUGGGUUCGAGUCCCACCGGGCGUG
Molecule: non-coding RNA, 80 nt
Organism: Spirodela intermedia
Lineage: Eukaryota; Viridiplantae; Streptophyta; Magnoliopsida; Alismatales; Araceae
Source: the annotation of a GenBank genome assembly